ACAAGCGGUGGAGCAUGUGGUUAAUUCGUAAGCAACGCGAAGAACCUUACCAGGUCUUGACAUCCCGAUGCUAUUUCUAGAGAUAGAAAGUUACUUCGGUACAUCGGUGACAGGUGGUGCAUGGUUGUCGUCAGCUCGUGUCGUGAGAUGUUGGGUUAAGUCCCGCAACGAGCGCAACCCCUAUUGUUAGUUGCCAUCAUUCAGUUGGGCACUCUAGCGAGACUGCCGGUAAUAAACCGGAGGAAGGUGGGGAUGACGUCAAAUCAUCAUGCCCCUUAUGACCUGGGCUACACACGUGCUACAAUGGUUGGUACAACGAGUUGCGAGUCGGUGACGGCGAGCUAAUCUCUUAAAGCCAAUCUCAGUUCGGAUUGUAGGCUGCAACUCGCCUACAUGAAGUCGGAAUCGCUAGUAAUCGCGGAUCAGCACGCCGCGGUGAAUACGUUCCCGGGCCUU
Molecule: ribosomal RNA, 456 nt
Filed under: uncultured Streptococcus sp.
Lineage: Bacteria; Bacillati; Bacillota; Bacilli; Lactobacillales; Streptococcaceae
Description: bacterial SSU rRNA
Rfam family: Bacterial small subunit ribosomal RNA
Source: RNAcentral